Molecule: ribosomal RNA, 425 nt
Filed under: uncultured bacterium
Lineage: Bacteria
Description: partial 16S ribosomal RNA
Rfam family: Bacterial small subunit ribosomal RNA
Source: RNAcentral
GUGGGGAAUCUUAGACAAUGGGCGCAAGCCUGAUCUAGCCAUGCCGCGUGAUCGAUGAAGGCCUUAGGGUUGUAAAGAUCUUUCAGUGGGGAAGAUAAUGACUGUACCCACAGAAGAAGCCCCGGCUAACUCCGUGCCAGCAGCCGCGGUAAUACGGAGGGGGCUAGCGUUGUUCGGAAUUACUGGGCGUAAAGCGCACGUAGGCGGAUCAGAAAGUCAGAGGUGAAAUCCCAGGGCUCAACCUUGGAACUGCCUUCAAAACUCCUGGUCUGGAGUUCGAGAGAGGUGAGUGGAAUUCCGAGUGUAGAGGUGAAAUUCGUAGAUAUUCGGAGGAACACCAGUGGCGAAGGCGGCUCACUGGCUCGAUACUGACGCUGAGGUGCGAAAGCGUGGGGAGCAAACAGGAUUAGAUACCCGAGUAGUCC